GCCUCCUUGGCUCAGUUGGUUAGAGCGCAGGUCUCAUAGUCCUUUCUAUGACAACGCUCUCUGUUGGCAAUCCUGAGGUCGCAAGUUCGAACCUUGCAGGGGGCA
This is a non-coding RNA of Tephrocybe rancida, 105 nucleotides long. The record is from the annotation of a GenBank genome assembly. Lineage: Eukaryota; Fungi; Basidiomycota; Agaricomycetes; Agaricales; Lyophyllaceae.